AUCUAUUAGGUAAGUCAUGCUAACCCGCAAAGUGGAAAGCAUGACUUAGUAAUCGGUUGUUGCAUCAACAUGCAACCGUAAACCUUAUUUAAAGUUGCUUCUUGUGGCUCUACAAGUGAAUGCAGUUGUC
This 130-nucleotide small RNA is filed under the name Staphylococcus aureus. Its description in RNAcentral is "Transcript". Lineage: Bacteria; Bacillati; Bacillota; Bacilli; Caryophanales; Staphylococcaceae. The record is from RNAcentral.